UGGGGAAUAUUGCACAAAGGGGGAAACCCUGAUGCAGCGACGCCGCGUGAGCGAAGAAGGCUUUCGAGUCGUAAAGCUCUGUCCUAUGAGAAGAUAAUGACGGUAUCAUAGGAGGAAGCCCUGGCUAAAUACGUGCCAGCAGCCGCGGUAAUACGUAUGGGGCGAGCGUUGUCCGGAAUUAUUGGGCGUAAAGGGUACGUAGGCGGUUUUUUAAGUCAGGUGUCAAAGCGUGGAGCUUAACUCCAUUAAGCACUUGAAACUGAAAGACUUGAGUGAAGGAGAGGAAAGUGGAAUUCCUAGUGUAGCGGUGAAAUGCGUAGAUAUUAGGAGGAAUACCGGUGGCGAAGGCGACUUUCUGGACUUUUACUGACGCUCAGGUACGAAAGCGUGGGGAGCAAACAGG
RNAcentral lists this ribosomal RNA (403 nucleotides) under Verrucomicrobiota bacterium. RNAcentral describes it as "Verrucomicrobia bacterium partial 16S ribosomal RNA". It matches the Rfam family "Bacterial small subunit ribosomal RNA", at positions 355 to 776 of the family's 1533-position model. Lineage: Bacteria; Pseudomonadati; Verrucomicrobiota. The record is from RNAcentral.